Molecule: long non-coding RNA, 464 nt
Filed under: Hordeum vulgare
Lineage: Eukaryota; Viridiplantae; Streptophyta; Magnoliopsida; Poales; Poaceae
Description: long non-coding RNA (HVUL_LNC019424)
Source: RNAcentral
UCUAUGGGAAUAAAUGUGGAUGGUGUCGCUAGACGCCUGGUUCAUGUUAGUUGGACAUGAGUUACCAUCUGUUUUUCCGCACCGAGUUGCUAGUCAAGUACUCUUGAUUUAUGUAAAUCGUUCAGUCCAUUUACAACUUCUGUUUGCCUGAGUAAGUGUUUGAUGUUUACAGCCUGAGUAAGUGUUUGAUGUUUACAACUUCUGUCUUGCUUUUGGUUUGUUUGAGAUUGUCGUUAGUUCAGAUGUUUGAUGCUGCGAUCCUUGUUGAGUACUACUCCCGUCCCAUAAUAUAAGAACGUUUUUUUUAAGCAAAUAUAGCUUGAAAAAUGUGUUUAUAUUAUAGGACGGAGCGAGUAUAUAUGAGCAAGAAUUAUGUUCUGAAUAGAUAUCUAGUAGUCAAUUCGAGGCCCAUUUCCUUCAUAUCUAGGCGAUGAGCUACUCUUUUUAUACUCUCUCCAUUCCUG